This 253-nucleotide ribosomal RNA is filed under the name uncultured bacterium. Its description in RNAcentral is "partial 16S ribosomal RNA". It matches the Rfam family "Bacterial small subunit ribosomal RNA", at positions 524 to 776 of the family's 1533-position model. The record is from RNAcentral. RNAcentral also lists the same sequence under 2 other names.
UACAGAGGUCCCAAGCGUUGUUCGGAUUCAUUGGGCGUAAAGGGUGCGUAGGCGGCAGUGUAAGUUGGACGUGAAAUCCUGGGGCUUAACCUCAGAAUUGCGUUCAAUACUGCAUUGCUAGGGCGCUGUAGAGGAGAUUGGAAUUUACGGUGUAGCAGUGAAAUGCGUAGAUAUCGUAAGGAAGACCAGUGGCGAAAGCGAAUCUCUGGGCAGCAGCCGACGCUGAGGCACGAAGGCCAGGGGAGCAAACGGG